GACGAACGCUGGCGGCGUGCUUAACACAUGCAAGUCGAACGGAAAGGCCCUUCGGGGUACUCGAGUGGCGAACGGGUGAGUAACACGUGGGUGAUCUGCCCUGCACUUUGGGAUAAGCCUGGGAAACUGGGUCUAAUACCGAAUAUGAUCAUCGGCUUCAUGGUCGGUGGUGGAAAGCUUUUGCGGUGUGGGAUGGGCCCGCGGCCUAUCAGCUUGUUGGUGGGGUAAUGGCCUACCAAGGCGACGACGGGUAGCCGGCCUGAGAGGGUGACCGGCCACACUGGGACUGAGAUACGGCCCAGACUCCUACGGGAGGCAGCAGUGGGGAAUAUUGCACAAUGGGCGCAAGCCUGAUGCAGCGACGCCGCGUGAGGGAUGACGGCCUUCGGGUUGUAAACCUCUUUCAGCACAGACGAAGCGCAAGUGACGGUAUGUGCGGAAGAAGGACCGGCCAACUACGUG
Molecule: ribosomal RNA, 462 nt
Filed under: uncultured bacterium
Lineage: Bacteria
Description: partial 16S ribosomal RNA
Rfam family: Bacterial small subunit ribosomal RNA
Source: RNAcentral